UCUCUCUCAGGUUCCGAGCAAGCCAACACUAGCAGCCAAGCAAUUUAUGAUAACCGGUUCUUGGUGUUGGUUUUACGGGAUCACAGGAGCUAUUUGAAGAACUAUUGCCAGAGUAUCCGGUCUGGUGAUGUGUACAUCCCUCGGGGGUGUUUCUGUCCCUCCCAGCCCAAUCAAUUUUGUCAGAGGGAGACACAGUAACUGUUGGUGACUUGUAAGUUUAUUGGUUUACUAGGAAGCAGCUGGAUUCACAGUUGAUGAUCCUGUUCACACAAUGUUGCCACUUUCUCUGGAGCUUGGACCAGGAGUUUUGGGAAACAUCUUCGAUGGAGUUGAGGAGGCCUUUGAAGACUAUUGUGAUGUCUACAUCCCUCAAGGUGUGUCGUCUGUCCCAGCUCUUGAAAAACAUUGUCCUUGCGAGUUCUAGCUCAUGAUGAUGGUUCGAAUCUACUACUCAACAGAUUGAUCCAUU
Non-coding RNA from Camelina sativa (false flax), 469 nucleotides. The record is from RefSeq and is a predicted model, not a curated record. Lineage: Eukaryota; Viridiplantae; Streptophyta; Magnoliopsida; Brassicales; Brassicaceae.